RNAcentral lists this transfer RNA (71 nucleotides) under Arabidopsis thaliana (thale cress). Its description in RNAcentral is "tRNA AT2G34985". Lineage: Eukaryota; Viridiplantae; Streptophyta; Magnoliopsida; Brassicales; Brassicaceae. The record is from RNAcentral.
CUUAGGAUGGCCGAGUGGACACAAGUUCUGGUCCUCGUAAGAGGGUGUGGGUUCAAACCCCACUUCUGACA